Molecule: ribosomal RNA, 437 nt
Filed under: uncultured bacterium
Lineage: Bacteria
Description: partial 16S ribosomal RNA
Rfam family: Bacterial small subunit ribosomal RNA
Source: RNAcentral
AGCGAACGCUGGCGGCAUGCUUAACACAUGCAAGUCGCGCGGGUGGUUUCGGCCAUCAGCGGCGGACGGGUGAGUAUCGCGUAGGAAUGUAUCCCGAGGUGGGGGACAACCCUGGGAAACUGGGGCUAAUACCGCAUGGGGCCUGUGGGUCAAAGCCUUAGGGCGCCUUGGGAGCAGCCUGCGUCCGAUUAGGUAGUUGGUGGGGUAAAGGCCUACCAAGCCUGCGAUCGGUAGCUGGUCUGAGAGGACGAUCAGCCACACUGGGUCUGAGACACGGCCCAGACUCCUACGGGAGGCAGCAGUGGGGAAUAUUGGACAAUGGGCGCAAGCCUGAUCCAGCAAUGCCGCGUGGGUGAAGAAGGUCUUCGGAUUGUAAAGCCCUUUCGGCGGGGACGAUGAUGACGGUACCCGCAGAAGAAGCCCCGGCUAACUUCGUG